AGCAGUGUGGCUUAGUGGAUAGAGCAUGCACCUGGGAAUUAGAAGGGCCUGGGUUCUAAAUCCCAGCUCUGCCG
Molecule: transfer RNA, 74 nt
Filed under: Ornithorhynchus anatinus (platypus)
Lineage: Eukaryota; Metazoa; Chordata; Mammalia; Monotremata; Ornithorhynchidae
Rfam family: tRNA
About the family: Transfer RNA (tRNA) molecules are approximately 80 nucleotides in length. Their secondary structure includes four short double-helical elements and three loops (D, anti-codon, and T loops). Further hydrogen bonds mediate the characteristic L-shaped molecular structure. tRNAs have two regions of fundamental functional importance: the anti-codon, which is responsible for specific mRNA codon recognition, and the 3' end, to which the tRNAs corresponding amino acid is attached (by aminoacyl-tRNA synthetases). tRNAs cope with the degeneracy of the genetic code in two manners: having more than one tRNA (with a specific anti-codon) for a particular amino acid; and 'wobble' base-pairing, i.e. permitting non-standard base-pairing at the 3rd anti-codon position.
Source: Rfam by way of RNAcentral